Long non-coding RNA from Hylaeus anthracinus, 1657 nucleotides. RefSeq lists it as uncharacterized. The transcript is spliced from 4 exons. The record is from RefSeq and is a predicted model, not a curated record. NCBI's taxonomy places the organism in Eukaryota, Metazoa, Arthropoda, Insecta, Hymenoptera, Colletidae.
UGUAAGAAAUUAAUUGCGAGAUCAGGACUAAUUGGUUGAAUGUAUAUUACUUCCAGAAAUGGAUUGGUCGAGGAGGACCAGUUUGUUGGCCUCCGUGGCCAGCAGACCAUACGACAUUAGAUUGUUAUCUGCUGGUAACUGUAAAGGAAAAACUCGGUAUCGUGCUUGUAUCGAUAAAGGUGGACAACAUUUUUAAACGUAAAAGUGCUGUGACGUUUAUAGUACUUCGUGUUGCCCUCCUACAUAUAUUUUUUUUAAACGUUCUAAACGUAAUCGAUUAUCAAGAAAGUCCUUGAAGCACAUUUAUCUAACAUUUUCGUCUCCCUGUUAAAAGUACGUAAUUUUAAUACAUCUAUGAAAUAUUCAUACCAGAUAGUUAGUAUCUAUGAAAAAAUUCCUAAAUAUCGUCAUUCGUUCAGUCUGAAAGGUGAUCUUUUUUUUUUUUUUUAAAUAAUUCAGAAUCGAAUUAUGUUUUGUGCGAAAAAAAGAAUUCAUCGCGCCAGGCGGCACUCGGAGCCGCCUUCUCGAUUAAAUAACGUCAUCCUUGGGAUUCUUUCGCAAUAUAAGCGGCAAGUAGGAAAGGAGUUUAUCUAGUUUAUACACGGUAUCUCGAGGAUGGUUAUCAGAUAACACGAUUCGUGUUUGUGCUUGCAAUGUGAUGCACGUUUUCGACGACGUGAAAUGAAAAAAAUCGAGGCGAAAGAGACGUUGGCGUAACGCUGCGAUUACGCGGACGCAUAUCGUAUAUAAUAACAAUAGUUAUUAUUUACUAAUGUAGAAUCUUCAUACGAUUUUAACAUAAGCUUGGUCGCGGACACGGUGGAUCAAUUUACGAAGUGCAAUGUUUACUCCGUGAAUCGUUGUAACCGAGCGCGCAACUAUCAAAGCUAAUACGCUGGGCGGUGAACGACGCCCGUGAAUCCGAAGCUUAAUCCGACGUGACAAGUUUUACCGAGGGGCCUCGCUUAAUAACGGAUCAAAUUCGAUUCAACUGUCCUUACGGAUUCUAUUCAAGCUCCGCUUGUCUUCCGAUGGGAAGGUGGAGGGGGCUCUUCUGAUAAUAAAAAUCGAUUUCGUGUUUGGUAUGAUUCGAUAUCACGUUUGGUGGUUGUGGUACGGCAUAACCCUGGAAAUAGCAUGGAAAAGUUAGUAAAUAACCAAUACUGUUUUACUUCGCAUUAUGCCAACUGAUUGCUAAUUACGAGUUGUCUACAUGUACAACGCUUCGUUGCGAAAUACUCUGCGGUCUAGUCACGAGGGCAUAAUCAACCGAGAUCAGGAGCCUUUCGACCAUCGCGCCCGUCUUCUAUCGUCUUAGCAAAGUUUCUUCCUUUCGUGAUAACUGCAAAUUAAACCAUGAUUGAUGUCGGAAGGACAAGUAGAUUCUUCUAACGCGGGAGUGUCCACGAUUCGUUCAAUUGCACGUUAAAGGUCCAAGGAGGAUCACAAAAGAUGUAAAGAGAACAACUGACGCGAAGAGAGACAAUUAUGUAAGCAUAAAUCCGACUGCAAAGAGGCUCGUUUUACUUUUACCUUGUAACAGUUAUUCAUCACAAGCGAGCACGUACGUUCAGAAAUUUUGUAGGUUGUGGAAAGAAUCGAAUACGUCCACAAUGAGUCUGGAUCCAUCGCAACGCUUCGCUAUACUAAUAGAAAG